CAGGUUUUGAAUGGGAAUAAAUAGACAAAACAUGAACAGGCUCAGGACAUUCCUGGUGGUGAGAGCCUUUGAAGGCUAGGGCAGUACUGAGGGUACAGAGUGACCAGUUAGCAAAAGCCAGGAGGUGAAGGGACAAGAACUGAGGUGACGCCUGUGACAGAAGACCAUGGAUCCAGAGAAGUGCUGCUUGAGCAGCAUGACCACUGGCCCUAAUGUGCAGCCUAGAUGUUUUUUCUGCUCCAAAGUAAGAACAGAGGGGAGGAAAUGAGCAAACCUUUCCCAAAAGCACAACUUGAGACCUUACAGGAACAAGUCUCCAGACUGCAGGAAUUCCAGGUUUCAUGGGAAAAAAAU
Molecule: long non-coding RNA, 354 nt
Organism: Passer montanus (Eurasian tree sparrow)
Lineage: Eukaryota; Metazoa; Chordata; Aves; Passeriformes; Passeridae
Exons: 3
Source: RefSeq, a predicted model, not a curated record